Molecule: ribosomal RNA, 229 nt
Filed under: uncultured bacterium
Lineage: Bacteria
Description: partial 16S ribosomal RNA
Rfam family: Bacterial small subunit ribosomal RNA
Source: RNAcentral
UCCGUAGGUGGAUAAUUAAGUCAGGGGUGAAAGUCUGCAGCUCAACUGUAGAAUUGCCUUUGAUACUGGUUAUCUUGAAUUAUUAUGAAGUAGUUAGAAUAUGUAGUGUAGCGGUGAAAUGCAUAGAUAUUACAUAGAAUACCAAUUGCGAAGGCAGAUUACUAAUAAUAUAUCGACACUGAUGGACGAAAGCGUGGGGAGCGAACAGGAUUAGAUACCCUGGUAGUCC